Molecule: long non-coding RNA, 1327 nt
Organism: Larimichthys crocea (large yellow croaker)
Lineage: Eukaryota; Metazoa; Chordata; Actinopteri; Sciaenidae
Exons: 3
Source: RefSeq, a predicted model, not a curated record
ACACUUUUUAAGGGCUGGCUUUGUGCAGGCUGACACAGAAAGAGGAGACUACAGAGAGCGAGAGAGUGUAAGCAGGGCAGCUACAGCCUCUGCUCCUGCGUCAGGAUGGAGAAAGCAGUGACCCAUUGGUUAUGGACCAGCUGUGUGCACUUACCCUUCUUGUCACCAUGUUUUCACUGAAGAAUCUGGAGCUCUAGGCAUGCUGACAGAAAGUGAGACUGUGUUUCUAUGUGUGAAAUAUGAGGAGCGAAGGAGAAGAAAAGAGUGAAGAAGAGAGAAGAUAGGAGAGGGAGGAAGAGACAAGCAGGGAGCCUGGCAAAAAAUACUUCACCAUUAGGACUGAAUUAGGCUUCGUGAUUCAUCCUCUUCAAUUGAGAGACACACAUUUCAAAUGUCGUAGGAUGCUCCAUCUCACGUCUGGUAGCCGUUUAUACUGUGUAGCACUACACCUUUAUACUGUGUGCCAAAUUCACUAAAGAAAAUGGUGUGAGUGCUGUUUGGGAGGAGGAAGUGUGUGAAAAACAGAGAGGAAAGUUGCUCCAUCUACACCCAAAUAUAUGAAUGUACCACUAAUCUGCUUGUGUAACAUUGAUUAAAAAGUGGCAGGUUGAACUGGUGGGUGUCGGUCCAGGAGUUGCUUGCUUGCUUGCUACUUCAUGGACGCCCUACAACUGCUGCUGACCUCUGACCUCAUGGGAAUCAAUCAGGAAGUCACAAAAAAAAUGAAGAAAAAUGAGAAUGAGAAAAACAAAACAAUAACAAGUACACAAGUGCUGCAAAGUGCAGGAAAAAGCUGUGGGACUCAGACAUGUGUGAUAGCAGGAUAAGGCGGGGGACCCACAUGGGGAGAAAUGUAUCAUAGAGGACGUCAUCAGCACCAAUGAAAGUCACGCAGCAUUCAGGGGUCAUUGCCAAGGCUGACGACAGAGUUAGAGAGACGAGAGAGAGAGAGAGAUCCUGGGUGUGACUAAGACACUCUGACCAUGGAAAAACAGUUUGCUGUCCUCCUUUCCUCCUCCAUAAUAACAUAAACACACGAGUCAGUCAGCCUGUUUGAGCGGAAAUGUUAGUCUUGAUAACGAAAUGAAAAUGUCUCUCCCUCUAUACGGCCUAUUGAGCUUCAACCCUCCGCCUUUUUUUUUAAGCAUGUCAAUACAAUAAUAAUACCUACCAAAACAUUUGCCUUGGGUGUAUCGUGGCCCCUGUCUUUUCCACUUGGUGCAUGUGUGUGUCUGUUGUAUACACAUAGGUCCUUUUAAUUUGUUUGAUGUCCCCUCCCAUCUGCCUCGUGGCUUUCCAUUCCGACUUGUAGGCUCGUCUUUCUAGG